This 207-nucleotide long non-coding RNA is filed under the name Nicotiana benthamiana. Its description in RNAcentral is "long non-coding RNA (NBEN_LNC033044)". The record is from RNAcentral. Lineage: Eukaryota; Viridiplantae; Streptophyta; Magnoliopsida; Solanales; Solanaceae.
CUUAAAUGGGAUAUAUUGGGUUCAUGACCCAAAACCAAUUGCAACGGGGAAUAUUUGUGAUAAUUCGUCGGUCUGAGACGAAUUAGCAUUGCUGCAAGCAAAAUGGCGUGACCCCAAACCGAAGUGGGCAGCCUCGUUUUCAUGAGUAACGGUCUUUCUAUCAACUGCAUACGUUUAAUUAAAGAUUCUGCAAGACCAUGUUGAGUG